This 340-nucleotide long non-coding RNA is filed under the name Homo sapiens (human). RNAcentral describes it as "non-protein coding lnc-ZNF83-8:1". Lineage: Eukaryota; Metazoa; Chordata; Mammalia; Primates; Hominidae. The record is from RNAcentral.
GUUGGGAACAAUCCCAGAUGUAGAAAUAUCCCACCAUGGGUGAAACUUCCUGAAAGAUCCAGAGGUGCUCCAGGUCCAGAUGCAGCUGCUGGAAGCCAUGUUUGGCCCAGACUGAUCUCAAAUCCCUUACAUCGAGCAGGUGAGCAAGGUCAUGCUCGUGCUGAAGGCUCUGGAGUCUUCAGACCUCACCGAGGUUGUCGGUUACGGCUUCUAUUUAUACAAGUGCCAGACCAAGUGGAUGCCCCAGUCCAUGGCUGAGUGGCACUGCCAGUGCCAGGAGCGAGGGAUGCUCAAACUUGUGGAAAGCAUGAAUGCCGUCAAACUACGCCCUUGGGUGAAG